GAUGAACGCUGGCGGCGUGCCUAAUACAUGCAAGUCGAGCGAACAGACGAGAAGCUUGCUUCUCUGAUGUUAGCGGCGGACGGGUGAGUAACACGUGGAUAACCUACCUAUAAGACUGGGAUAACUUCGGGAAACCGGAGCUAAUACCGGAUAAUAUUUUGAACCGCAUGGUUCAAUAGUGAAAGACGGUUUUGCUGUCACUUAUAGAUGGAUCCGCGCUGCAUUAGCUAGUUGGUAAGGUAACGGCUUACCAAGGCAACGAUGCGUAGCCGACCUGAGAGGGUGAUCGGCCACACUGGAACUGAGACACGGUCCAGACUCCUACGGGAGGCAGCAGUAGGGAAUCUUCCGCAAUGGGCGAAAGCCUGACGGAGCAACGCCGCGUGAGUGAUGAAGGUCUUCGGAUCGUAAAACUCUGUUAUUAGGGAAGAACAAAUGUGUAAGUAACUGUGCACAUCUUGACGGUACCUAAUCAGAAAGCCACGGCUAACUACGUG
RNAcentral lists this ribosomal RNA (497 nucleotides) under uncultured bacterium. RNAcentral describes it as "partial 16S ribosomal RNA". It matches the Rfam family "Bacterial small subunit ribosomal RNA", at positions 28 to 507 of the family's 1533-position model. The record is from RNAcentral.